Long non-coding RNA from Aricia agestis (brown argus), 566 nucleotides. RefSeq lists it as uncharacterized. Lineage: Eukaryota; Metazoa; Arthropoda; Insecta; Lepidoptera; Lycaenidae. The record is from RefSeq and is a predicted model, not a curated record. The transcript is spliced from 2 exons.
UGAGGAGCAAAACUGCCUUUUUAUCCCGAUAGGCGUCGCAUCGUCGACUGACCGUAAUUUGACAUUAGAGCUGUCAAAUCCAAUACAUUUUUUGUAAACAAGAGUAAUAAUUACCAAUUUUCGUAAAAAUGCCACAAUGUUGUGCUUUCAGUUUUAAAAACUGGAGUUCAUAUAUUUCCCAAAGACCCAAAGUGAAGAAAAAGUGGGGAAAUGCCUUGUGAAUAAAGAAUUUCAAGGAAAUAAUAUGGCACGCUUAAGUUCACUUCAUUUCACAGAAUAUUUUGAAGGAAGUAUUAUACACAGAUGCUGAGCCAUAAGAAACAUUUUUAAGAAAUACAUAAAGAGCCUCUGUUAUCUUACUGUUUAUUAGCAUAAUUAUGCAAGAUCUAUAUGUGAUUGACAAAUAAUGGGAAUAGGCUAUCUUAUGACCAAGUGUUGAAGCAAAUUCAAGACAUGUUUGCUAAUAAAAAGUUACUGUAAGGAUUCCGCAGCUUGUAGUACCACAGUUGCAGCAAGUACUAAAAUGUGUUCAUACUGAGAGGAUUAUAGGAUUAACCAAUAGCAAG